Molecule: non-coding RNA, 76 nt
Organism: Oryzias latipes (Japanese medaka)
Lineage: Eukaryota; Metazoa; Chordata; Actinopteri; Beloniformes; Adrianichthyidae
Source: Rfam
UUUGAAAGCAUUGCACCCAGUGUCUGACUUGUCAGACAUUGUACCUGGAGCUUGGUAUUUGUUGUUUUGUAUUAAA